UUUUGGUACAGCAACAUCUGAUGAGAUACAAAACAACAUAUCAAUAUGAUGCGGUGUUUGCUCUUGGUUUUGUGACCGUCUAUGACCAACUCAUGGAAGGGUACCCUAGCAAUGAGGAUAGGGAUGCAAUCUUCAAAGCAUAUAUAACAGCGUUAAACGAAGACCCUGAGCAAUACAGAGCUGACGCACAAAAGAUGGAAGAGUGGGCUCGUUCCCAGAAUGGUAAUUCUUUAGUUGAGUUUUCAUCCAAAGAUGGAGAAAUAGAGGCCAUUCUGAAAGAUAUUUCAGAAAGGGCCCAGGGUAAGGGAAGCUUCAGCUACAGCCGGUUCUUUGCAGUUGGCUUGUUCCGUUUGCUUGAGCUUGCAAAUGCAACAGAGCCAACCAUACUAGACAAGCUUUGCGCUGCUCUAAACAUCAACAAAAGAAGUGUCGACAGGGAUCUCGAUGUUUACCGGAACAUACUCUCCAAAUUGGUCCAGGCUAAGGAACUUCUCAAGGAAUACGUGGAAAGGGAAAAGAAGAAG
Molecule: unclassified non-coding RNA, 524 nt
Filed under: Hevea brasiliensis (rubber tree)
Lineage: Eukaryota; Viridiplantae; Streptophyta; Magnoliopsida; Malpighiales; Euphorbiaceae
Source: RNAcentral